RNAcentral lists this ribosomal RNA (967 nucleotides) under Bacteroidota bacterium. RNAcentral's name for it is "bacterial SSU rRNA". It matches the Rfam family "Bacterial small subunit ribosomal RNA", at positions 1 to 967 of the family's 1533-position model. Lineage: Bacteria; Pseudomonadati; Bacteroidota. The record is from RNAcentral.
UUUUUACUACGAAGAGUUUGAUCCUGGCUCAGGAUGAACGCUAGCGGCAGGCCUAAUACAUGCAAGUCGAACGUCAUUUUUGACUUCGGUUAAAAAUGAGUGGCGAACGGGUGAGUAACACGUAUGCAACCUACCCCUUACCGGGGAAUAGCUUCGAGAAAUCGAAAUUAAUACCCCAUAAUAUUUAACUUGGGCAUCCUUGUUAAAUUAAAGUUCCGGCAGUAAGGGAUGGGCAUGCGGCCCAUUAGCUUGUUGGUGAAGGUAACGGCUCACCAAGGCAACGAUGGGUAGCUGGUCUGAGAGGAUGAUCAGCCACACUGGCACUGAGACACGGGCCAGACUCCUACGGGAGGCAGCAGUAGGGAAUAUUGGUCAAUGGACGAAAGUCUGAACCAGCCAUGCCGCGUGCAGGAUGACGGAUCUAUGAUUUGUAAACUGCUUUUAUUCGGGAAGAACAGCAAGUAUUCUUAUUUGUCUGACGGUACCGAUUGAAUAAGCACCGGCUAACUCCGUGCCAGCAGCCGCGGUAAUACGGAGGGUGCAAGCGUUAUCCGGAUUUACUGGGUUUAAAGGGUGCGUAGGUGGUUUAAUAAGUUAGUGGUGAAAUCCUACAGCUCAACUGUAGAACUGCCAUUAAAACUGUUAAACUUGAGUAUAGUUGAGGCGGGUGGAAUGUAACAUGUAGCGGUGAAAUGCUUAGAUAUGUUACAGAACACCAAUUGUGAAGACAGCUCGCUAGACUAUUACUGACACUGAGGCACGAAAGCGUGGGUAGCGAACAGGAUUAGAUACCCUGGUAGUCCACGCCCUAAACGAUGAAUACUAGAUGUUGGAUUUUUUCAGUAUCGUAGCUAACGUAUUAAGUAUUCCGCCUGGGGAGUACGGUCGCAAGAUUAAAACUCAAAGGAAUAGACGGGGACCCGCACAAGUGGUGGAGCAUGUGGUUUAAUUCGAAGAUACGCGAAGA